RNAcentral lists this unclassified non-coding RNA (340 nucleotides) under soil metagenome. RNAcentral describes it as "partial contains 5.8S ribosomal RNA, internal transcribed spacer 2, and large subunit ribosomal RNA". The stretch from base 1 to 121 matches the Rfam family "5.8S ribosomal RNA", at positions 35 to 154 of the family's 154-position model. The record is from RNAcentral.
GAUGAAGAACGUAGCGAAAUGCGAUAAGUAAUGCGAAUUGCAGAAUUUCCGUGAGUCAUCGAAUCUUUGAACGCACAUUGCGCCUCCCGGUAUUCCGGGAGGCAUGCCUGUUCGAGCGUCAUUAAUAACCAUCAAGCGCUCUUGCUUGGACUUGGGAGAUGAGUGCCUACGGUCCUCACUGCCGAAAUUGAAUGGCGGAUAGCCUUGGGGUGCCCAAGCGUAGUAAGUCUUCUUUCGCUUGGGUCCCGAGACGGUCCCGCCCCCAACCCCCACAUUCUAUGGUUGACCUCGGAUCAGGUAGGGAUACCCGCUGAACUUAAGCAUAUCAAUAAGCGGAGGA